UACGGAAGGCAGCAGUGGGGAAUAUUGGACAAUGGGCGAAAGCCUGAUCCAGCCAUGCCGCAUGAGUGAAGAAGGCCUUCGGGUUGUAAAGCUCUUUUAGUGAGAAAGAUAAUGACGGUACUCACAGAAGAAGUCCUGGCUAACUCCGUGCCAGCAGCCGCGGUAAUACGGAGAGGGCUAGCGUUAAUCGGAAUUACUGGGCGUAAAGGGCACGCAGGCGGUUAAUUAAGUUGGAUGUGAAAUCCCCGGGCUUAACCUGGGAAUGGCAUUCAAGACUGGUUAGCUAGAGUCUUGUAGAGGGGGUAGAAUUCCAUGUGUAGCGGUGAAAUGCGUAGAGAUGUGGAGGAAUACCGGUGGCGAAGGCGGCCCCUGGACAAAGACUGACGCUCAUGUGCGAAAGCGUGGGGAGCAAACAGGGAUUAGAUACCCGU
Molecule: ribosomal RNA, 431 nt
Filed under: uncultured bacterium
Lineage: Bacteria
Description: bacterial SSU rRNA
Rfam family: Bacterial small subunit ribosomal RNA
Source: RNAcentral